Molecule: transfer RNA, 29 nt
Filed under: Priapella compressa (Palenque priapella)
Lineage: Eukaryota; Metazoa; Chordata; Actinopteri; Cyprinodontiformes; Poeciliidae
Also listed under: 1 other name
Description: partial tRNA-Thr
Source: RNAcentral
GCACUAGUAGCUCAGUUUCCAGAGCGUCG